RNAcentral lists this ribosomal RNA (494 nucleotides) under uncultured bacterium. Its description in RNAcentral is "partial 16S ribosomal RNA". It matches the Rfam family "Bacterial small subunit ribosomal RNA", at positions 28 to 507 of the family's 1533-position model. The record is from RNAcentral.
GACGAACGCUGGCGGCGCGCUUAACACAUGCAAGUCGAACGGAAAGGCCUGCUUUCCCUUGUGGAUUGCGGGUACUCGAGUGGCGAACGGGUGAGUAACACGUGAGUGAUCUGCCCCCAACUUGGGUAUAAGCCUGGGAAACUGGGUCUAAUUCCCGAUAGGACUGCAGGGUGGUGCCUGUGGUGGAAAACGAUUUUCUAGUGGUUGGGGAUGAGCUCGCGGCCUAUCAGCUUGUUGGUGGGGUAAUGGCCUACCAAGGCGGCGACGGGUAGCCGGCCUGAGAGGGUGGACGGUCACAUUGGGACUGAGAUACGGCCCAGACUCCUACGGGAGGCAGCAGUGGGGAAUAUUGGACAGUGGGCGGAAGCCUGAUGCAGCGACGCCGCGUGGGGGAUGACGGCCUUCGGGUUGUAAACUCCUUUCGACCGCGAGGAAGCCACCUGGUUGGAAGGGUGGUGACGGUAGUGGUAGAAGAAGCACCGGCUAACUACGUG